UACGAACGCUGGCGGCGUGCUUAACACAUGCAAGUCGUACGGUAAGGCCCUUUCGGGGGUACACGAGUGGCGAACGGGUGAGUAACACGUGAGUAACCUGCCCACAACUUUGGGAUAACGCUAGGAAACUGGUGCUAAUACUGGAUAUGUGCUCCUGCUGCAUGGUGGGGGUUGGAAAGCUCCGGCGGUUGUGGAUGGACUCGCGGCCUAUCAGCUUGUUGGUGGGGUAGUGGCCUACCAAGGCGGCGACGGGUAGCCGGCCUGAGAGGGUGACCGGCCACAUUGGGACUGAGAUACGGCCCAGACUCCUACGGGAGGCAGCAGUGGGGAAUAUUGCACAAUGGGCGCAAGCCUGAUGCAGCAACGCCGCGUGCGGGAUGACGGCCUUCGGGUUGUAAACCGCUUUCAGCAGGGACGAAGCUUUUUGUGACGGUACCUGCAGAAGAAGCACCGGCUAACUACGUG
This 465-nucleotide ribosomal RNA is filed under the name uncultured bacterium. Its description in RNAcentral is "partial 16S ribosomal RNA". It matches the Rfam family "Bacterial small subunit ribosomal RNA", at positions 29 to 507 of the family's 1533-position model. The record is from RNAcentral.